This is a ribosomal RNA of Mus spicilegus (steppe mouse), 116 nucleotides long. Lineage: Eukaryota; Metazoa; Chordata; Mammalia; Rodentia; Muridae. The record is from Ensembl.
GCCUAUAGCCAAUACCACCCUGAAUGUCCCCAAUCUCAUCUGAUCUUAGAAGCUAAGCAGGCUUUGGCCUGGUUAAUACUUGGAUGGGAGAUUUGAAUCUGAGGCAGAAGUAGGCA